CGGGAUGUAGCUCAGGUGGUAGAGCGCCCGCCCUGGGAGCGGGAGGCCGCAGGUUCGAGCCCUGCUAUCCCGA
This 73-nucleotide transfer RNA is filed under the name Brachybacterium kimchii. RNAcentral's name for it is "Brachybacterium sp. CBA3104 tRNA-Pro". It matches the Rfam family "tRNA". Rfam says of the family: Transfer RNA (tRNA) molecules are approximately 80 nucleotides in length. Their secondary structure includes four short double-helical elements and three loops (D, anti-codon, and T loops). Further hydrogen bonds mediate the characteristic L-shaped molecular structure. tRNAs have two regions of fundamental functional importance: the anti-codon, which is responsible for specific mRNA codon recognition, and the 3' end, to which the tRNAs corresponding amino acid is attached (by aminoacyl-tRNA synthetases). tRNAs cope with the degeneracy of the genetic code in two manners: having more than one tRNA (with a specific anti-codon) for a particular amino acid; and 'wobble' base-pairing, i.e. permitting non-standard base-pairing at the 3rd anti-codon position. Lineage: Bacteria; Bacillati; Actinomycetota; Actinomycetes; Micrococcales; Dermabacteraceae. The record is from RNAcentral.